This 481-nucleotide ribosomal RNA is filed under the name uncultured bacterium. RNAcentral describes it as "partial 16S ribosomal RNA". It matches the Rfam family "Bacterial small subunit ribosomal RNA", at positions 30 to 506 of the family's 1533-position model. The record is from RNAcentral.
AUUGAACGCUGGCGGCAUGCCUUACACAUGCAAGUCGAACGGUAACAGGUCUUCGGAUGCUGACGAGUGGCGAACGGGUGAGUAAUACAUCGGAACGUGCCCGAUCGUGGGGGAUAACGGAGCGAAAGCUUUGCUAAUACCGCAUACGAUCUACGGAUGAAAGCAGGGGACCGCAAGGCCUUGCGCGGACGGAGCGGCCGAUGGCAGAUUAGGUAGUUGGUGGGAUAAAAGCUUACCAAGCCGACGAUCUGUAGCUGGUCUGAGAGGACGACCAGCCACACUGGGACUGAGACACGGCCCAGACUCCUACGGGAGGCAGCAGUGGGGAAUUUUGGACAAUGGGCGAAAGCCUGAUCCAGCCAUGCCGCGUGCAGGAUGAAGGCCUUCGGGUUGUAAACUGCUUUUGUACGGAACGAAAAGACUCUUUCUAAUAAAGAGGGUCCAUGACGGUACCGUAAGGAUAAGCACCGGCUAACUACGU